Molecule: ribosomal RNA, 324 nt
Filed under: uncultured Pseudomonadota bacterium
Lineage: Bacteria; Pseudomonadati; Pseudomonadota
Description: bacterial SSU rRNA
Rfam family: Bacterial small subunit ribosomal RNA
Source: RNAcentral
AGUGAACGCUGGCGGCGUGCCUAACACAUGCAAGUCGAACGAUGAUGGAGGAGCUUGCUCUUCCUGAUUAGUGGCGCACGGGUGAGUAUACCAUAGAUAAUGUACCCCUUAGUUCGGGAUAGCCACUGGAAACGGUGAUUAAUACCGGAUACUCCUUCUCGUUAUAAGACGAGUCGGGAAAGUUUUUUCGCUAAGGGAUCAGUCUAUGUCCUAUCAGCUAGUUGGUGAGGUAAUGGCUCACCAAGGCAAUGACGGGUAUCUGGUUUGAGAGGAUGAUCAGACACACUGGAACUGAGACACGGUCCAGACUCCUACGGGAGGCUG